This 465-nucleotide ribosomal RNA is filed under the name uncultured Klebsiella sp. RNAcentral's name for it is "bacterial SSU rRNA". It matches the Rfam family "Bacterial small subunit ribosomal RNA", at positions 338 to 795 of the family's 1533-position model. Lineage: Bacteria; Pseudomonadati; Pseudomonadota; Gammaproteobacteria; Enterobacterales; Enterobacteriaceae. The record is from RNAcentral.
CCUACGGGUGGCAGCAGUGGGGAAUAUUGCGCAAUGGGCGCAAGCCUGAUGCAGCCAUGCCGCGUGUGUGAAGAAGGCCUUCGGGUUGUAAAGCACUUUCAGCGGGGAGGAAGGCGUUAAGGUUAAUAACCUUGGCGAUUGACGUUACCCGCAGAAGAAGCACCGGCUAACUCCGUGCCAGCAGCCGCGGUAAUACGGAGGGUGCAAGCGUUAAUCGGAAUUACUGGGCGUAAAGCGCACGCAGGCGGUCUGUCAAGUCGGAUGUGAAAUCCCCGGGCUCAACCUGGGAACUGCAUUCGAAACUGGCAGGCUAGAGUCUUGUAGGGGGGGGUAGAAUUCCAGGUGUAGCGGUGAAAUGCGUAGAGAUCUGGAGGAAUACCGGUGGCGAAGGCGGCCCCCUGGACAAAGACUGACGCUCAGGUGCGAAAGCGUGGGGAGCAAACAGGAUUAGAUACCCGUGUAGUC